AAAAUUCAAGUUCUGUACAGUUUCUGUAGGCUGCAUGGGAUUUGUAAUUGGGCCAAUAAUAAGAACACCCCUUAAUUUAAUUAAUACGUGCCCUUCAACAGCAUCAGUUGGGCCCUUCCACAGGGUGGGCUUUGUGGUGGGUUCCCUUUUUUCUUUGGAUUCAUAUGGCCUCUGUGUCCUAUGGAGAUUUAGAAGAUGAUCAUCUCCUAUGAGAUCAAUUCCUGCUUCGAUAUUUUUUCCUUUUUUGAAGUCCUAAGUGCACAUGCUGCUUCUUACUUAUGUCCAAAGUCUAGCUUCAUGUACCCUUAAAGAGUAAUGGGUAAGAUUGUUUAAGGUUGG
RNAcentral lists this unclassified non-coding RNA (339 nucleotides) under Hevea brasiliensis (rubber tree). The record is from RNAcentral. Lineage: Eukaryota; Viridiplantae; Streptophyta; Magnoliopsida; Malpighiales; Euphorbiaceae.